UGUUUGGGGGGAGCACUUAACUUCUCAGUGUGUUGCCAUCCUGACCUGGGGGCUGACAUAGCUAACCUGUGGAAAGCAUGCCUCCUGAUCAGUAUUGGACUUCAUGUGAGUGGAAGAGAAACCUUCACUUUAAACCCCAGGAAUUUCAGAGGUUUGUCAGCUGGAGAAGCUAGUGGGAGUUAUCCUGAAACACACUCCAAUAAGGAUGCUGUUUUCCAAAAAGCAUGCUGAUUGUCAGUCUAAACUUCACUGCGGAUGGCUUUAUAAUAAGGAGCUAGACAGUCAAGGGGCAGGGAACAGGAUGGAUGGAGGUGAGAUGGGUGUGCAAUUGAGUCAGUUGCUGGGAGUGAGGCCUGAUUUGCUUUCCCAUGGUGUCCUCUGCACAGUGGUCCCAGGUGUUCCUACUUGUGCAUCAAACCUACGGUCAGAGGUUUUAAAGACUUGUUUCAAGCUGAGUUUCCCCUCCAUUUGCUCCUGAGCUAGAUAAGUUGAUAAUUGUCUUUUUGAAGUUCUUUUGUACAGCCCAGAUCUUAACCUAUUUUAUUUCUUAGUUUUGUUUCAUACCACUUUUGGCAACUUUUUGAUGGCCUGCAUUUUCAUUUCUUACUAUCAUGGCAUUAUUUACAUUCUGGACUCACAUUUGCUUUCAGAAAUAGUAGUUCUCAAACUGGGUUGUAUGUUAGAAUCACUUGAAUCCCACUCUUAGAGAUUCAGAUUUAAUUAUCUG
This 727-nucleotide long non-coding RNA is filed under the name Oryctolagus cuniculus (rabbit). RNAcentral's name for it is "lncRNA (ENSOCUG00000030875.1)". The record is from RNAcentral. Lineage: Eukaryota; Metazoa; Chordata; Mammalia; Lagomorpha; Leporidae.